RNAcentral lists this ribosomal RNA (497 nucleotides) under Parasphaerichthys ocellatus (eyespot gourami). Its description in RNAcentral is "partial 12S ribosomal RNA". It matches the Rfam family "Bacterial small subunit ribosomal RNA", at positions 803 to 1533 of the family's 1533-position model. Lineage: Eukaryota; Metazoa; Chordata; Actinopteri; Anabantiformes; Osphronemidae. The record is from RNAcentral.
UAAACAUUGAUAACACUUUACAUUUGUUAUCCGCCAGGGAACUACAAGCAUCAGCUUAAAACCCAAAGGACUUGGCGACGCUUAAGAUCCGCCUAGAGGAGCCUGUUCUAGAACCGAUAACCCCCGUUUAACCUCACCUUCUCUUGUUUAACCCGCCUAUAUACCGCCGUCGUCAGCCUACCCUGUGAAGGAUUAAUAGUAAGCUUAAUUGGCAUAGCCCAAAAUGUCAGGUCGAGGUGUAGCGUAUGAGAAGGGAAGAAAUAGGCUACAUUCAUUAAUAUAAUGAACACGGAUGAUGUGAUGAAAUAGACAUCUAAAGGAGGAUUUAGCAGUAAGCAGAAAUUAGAAUGUUCCGCUGAAACUGGCUCUAAAGCACGCACACACCGCCCGUCACUCUCCCCAAACACCACAGUUACUUAUAAUUAAUACUACAAAAACGUAAUAGGGGAGGCAAGUCGUAACAUGGUAAGUGUACCGGAAGGUGCACUUGGAUAAAU